RNAcentral lists this ribosomal RNA (259 nucleotides) under uncultured bacterium. RNAcentral describes it as "partial small subunit ribosomal RNA". It matches the Rfam family "Bacterial small subunit ribosomal RNA", at positions 26 to 285 of the family's 1533-position model. The record is from RNAcentral.
AGAAUCAACGCUGGCGGCGUGCCUAACACAUGCAAGUCGAACGAGAAAGUGGAGCAAUCCAUGAGUAAAGUGGCGACCGGGUGAGUAACACGUGACUAACCUACCUUCAAGUGGGGGAUAACCUCGGGAAACCGGGGCUAAUACCGCAUAACAUCCCUGGAGCGGAAGAACUGGGGAUCAAAGGAGCAAUUCGCUGGAAGAGGGGGUCGCGGCUGAUUAGCUAGUUGGCGGGUAAUGGCCCACAAGGCUUUGAUCGGUA